This is a non-coding RNA of Caerostris darwini, 111 nucleotides long. Lineage: Eukaryota; Metazoa; Arthropoda; Arachnida; Araneae; Araneidae. The record is from the annotation of a GenBank genome assembly.
ACGGCCAUACCAUGCUGAAUAUACCGGUUCUCCUUAGAUCACCGAAGUCAAGCAUCAUUGGGCGCGGUCAGUAACGGUCUGUUGACCACCUGAGAACACCGCGUGCCGUUG